GGCUUUCUUCGCGGCGGAGCUCGACCGCCCGCGCCGGUAGUCGUCGACUAUGUCGAUAGGCACAAGGAGCGGUUCGGGGUCGAGCCGAUCUGUGCCGUGCUCAAGGAUGCCGGUAUCCAGAUCGCCCCG
Frankia sp. is the source of this 129-nucleotide non-coding RNA. The record is from Rfam. Lineage: Bacteria; Bacillati; Actinomycetota; Actinomycetes; Frankiales; Frankiaceae.